This 410-nucleotide ribosomal RNA is filed under the name uncultured bacterium. RNAcentral's name for it is "partial 16S ribosomal RNA". It matches the Rfam family "Bacterial small subunit ribosomal RNA", at positions 355 to 781 of the family's 1533-position model. The record is from RNAcentral.
UGGGGAAUAUUGCACAAUGGGCGAAAGCCUGAUGCAGCAACGCCGCGUGAGUGAUGAAGGUCUUCGGAUUGUAAAGCUCUGUCUUUUGGGACGAUAAUGACGGUACCAAAGGAGGAAGCCACGGCUAACUACGUGCCAGCAGCCGCGGUAAUACGUAGGUGGCGAGCGUUGUCCGGAUUUACUGGGCGUAAAGGGUGCGUAGGCGGAUGUUUAAGUGAGAUGUGAAAUACCCGGGCUUAACUUGGGUGCUGCAUUUCAAACUGGAUAUCUAGAGUGCAGGAGAGGAGAAUGGAAUUCCUAGUGUAGCGGUGAAAUGCGUAGAGAUUAGGAAGAACACCAGUGGCGAAGGCGAUUCUCUGGACUGUAACUGACGCUGAGGCACGAAAGGCGUGGGUAGCAAACAGGAUUAG